GAAACCAACCGGGAUUGCCUUAGUAACGGCGAGUGAAGCGGCAAAAGCUCAAAUUUGAAAUCUGGUACCUUCGGUGCCCGAGUUGUAAUUUGGAGAGGGCAACUUUGGGGCCGUUCCUUGUCUAUGUUCCUUGGAACAGGACGUCAUAGAGGGUGAGAAUCCCGUGUGGCGAGGAGUGCGGUUCUUUGUAAAGUGCCUUCGAAGAGUCGAGUUGUUUGGGAAUGCAGCUCUAAGUGGGUGGUAAAUUCCAUCUAAAGCUAAAUAUUGGCGAGAGACCGAUAGCGAACAAGUACAGUGAUGGAAAGAUGAAAAGAACUUUGAAAAGAGAGUGAAAAAGUACGUGAAAUUGUUGAAAGGGAAGGGCAUUUGAUCAGACAUGGUGUUUUGUGCCCUCUGCUCCUUGUGGGUAGGGGAAUCUCGCAUUUCACUGGGCCAGCAUCAGUUUUGGUGGCAGGAUAAAUCCAUAGGAAUGUAGCUUGCCUCGGUAAGUAUUAUAGCCUGUGGGAAUACUGCCAGCUGGGACUGAGGACUGCGACGUAAGUC
Molecule: ribosomal RNA, 543 nt
Filed under: Saccharomyces cerevisiae (brewer's yeast)
Lineage: Eukaryota; Fungi; Ascomycota; Saccharomycetes; Saccharomycetales; Saccharomycetaceae
Description: eukaryotic LSU rRNA
Rfam family: Eukaryotic large subunit ribosomal RNA
Source: RNAcentral